Molecule: ribosomal RNA, 490 nt
Filed under: uncultured bacterium
Lineage: Bacteria
Description: partial 16S ribosomal RNA
Rfam family: Bacterial small subunit ribosomal RNA
Source: RNAcentral
AUUGAACGCUGGCGGCAGGCCUAACACAUGCAAGUCGAACGGUAACAGGGAUCAGCUUGCUGAUUCGCUGACGAGUGGCGGACGGGUGAGUAAUGUCUGGGAAACUGCCUGAUGGAGGGGGAUAACUACUGGGAACGGUAGCUAAUACCGCAUAACGUCGCAAGACGAAAGAGGGGGACCUUCGGGGCUCUUGCCAUCGGAUGUGCCCAGAUGGGAUUAGCUAGUAGGUGGGGUAACGGCUCACCUAGGCGACGAUCCCUAGCUGGUCUGAGAGGAUGACCAGCCACACUGGAACUGAGACACGGUCCAGACUCCUACGGGAGGCAGCAGUGGGGAAUAUUGCACAAUGGGCGCAAGCCUGAUGCAGCCAUGCCGCGUGUAUGAAGAAGGCCUUCGGGUUGUAAAGUACUUUCAGCGGGGAGGAAGGGAGUAAAGUUAAUACCUUUGCUCAUUGACGUUACCCGCAGAAGAAGCACCGGCUAACUCCGUG